Molecule: ribosomal RNA, 474 nt
Filed under: uncultured organism
Description: partial 16S ribosomal RNA
Rfam family: Bacterial small subunit ribosomal RNA
Source: RNAcentral
ACGUACACUCCUGCGGGAGGCAGCAGUGAGGAAUAUUGGACAAUGGGUGGAAGCCUGAUCCAGCCAUCCCGCGUGCAGGAAGACGGCCCUAUGGGUUGUAAACUGCUUUUAUCUGGGGAUAAACCUACUUACGUGUAAGUAGCUGAAGGUACCAGAAGAAUAAGCACCGGCUAACUCCGUGCCAGCAGCCGCGGUAAUACGGAGGGUGCAAGCGUUAUCCGGAUUUAUUGGGUUUAAAGGGUCCGUAGGCGGACUGAUAAGUCAGUGGUGAAAUCCGACAGCUUAACUGUCGAACUGCCAUUGAUACUGUUAGUCUUGAGUAAGGUUGAAGUGGCUGGAAUAAGUAGUGUAGCGGUGAAAUGCAUAGAUAUUACUUAGAACACCAAUUGCGAAGGCAGGUCACUAAGUCUUAACUGACGCUGAUGGACGAAAGCGUGGGGAGCGAACAGGAUUAGAAACCCCGGUAGUCCCAUG